ACAUUGUUUUGUAACACUUCUCAUUGUUCCUCUAUGAUUUUUAUACCUUUUCAUCAUUUGAAUUAACACUGAAUAUAUCCACAUUUUUUUAUAUAGCUUGAGACAGUGACAAAUCCAAAAGUUGUCUUAGGUGCAAUAUAGUUGUUGGCCGAGAGAGCAAAUAAUAGCCUAAUUGACUAUCAUGACGCUUGGCAUUUCUUGAAAGUGUUGGAAUUAUAAAACCCACAUUUUAAAACGUUAAUUUGCCAUAACAUUCAUUUUAUCAUUUUCGUUUCUAGGGUGUCAGGAAUGGAUGAUGUAGAUCAAUUGUGGUAUGACUACUAAAUAAAGGAAUGAUAAAUAGGGACAAAAUGCAAUCGAGUAAUAAAUUUGAAACUAAUCUGAAGUUCAAUAACCUAAUUGAGAUGAAAUUUUUCUUAAGUUAGUCAUCAUAGAUGAAAUUAACCCUUAUAUGUUGUUUAAUUUCUCUAUCUUGGAAUUCGUAUCAAGUCACGUUAAAAGAUUGGUUAACACAUUUAUAACAAGAACAUUUGUAAAUAGGGAUGUCAACAAGUCGAGUCGAGCCAAAACUCGAAACUCUGGCUCAACUCGAGUAAAAAUAGUUCGGAUUUUUUUUUGCUUGAGCCAGGCCAAGCUUUUGCUCAACCAAAAAAUAUAGGCUCAAACUUUAACGAGUCGAGACGGCUCUUUUUUUUUUUUUUUUUUUUAAAUCGAUUCAGCUGCCUUAUUAUACAUUGUUACUGCAGGUAGCUACUACUGCCACAUUUAUUUAUUUUUUUUAAGAUUUGCAAGUUCUAUUUUUUUCUUUUUUCUUUUUUUUUGGCUCAACUCGUUACAGGCUGGAAAUGGCCCGUGACACGGGCUAGCUCGAGGCUCUAGCCAACGCUCCCAACUGAAGCAUGACAUAUGGUUAUUUGAUUCAUGAAUCAAUAAAAAAACUACUAUAUUAAUGCAUCAAAUUAAUUAUUUGUCAUAUGUAUGUCCCAUGUACCACAAAUAUCUUUAGUCAUAUUUUAAUUAUCAACUGAGUGGCGCCUACAACAUCACACCACUCAUCACUCCAUUAAACGUACAAUAAUUUUCACUUUUUUAUACAUUAUUAUCAAUAGCAGAACAAUAUCAAUCUGGUUCCAUGGCCAAAUUUGUGGAAUUCUUAUAAUCUUAAUCAAACAAACCAAAUGGGUAAAAGGAUACAAUUUUAGACUUAGCCAAAGCUGAGACUUUUUUCUUAAAUAAUGAAAAUUAGGAGAAAAAAUAUCAAGAUCCACUAUGAAACACGAUUAUUUCAAGAAUAAAGUUAUUUGCAAUUGCUUACCAUGACAGUCGCUCUACAUGACAUGUGAUUAUUUGAUACAUGAGUCAAUAAAAAACUACUUUAUUAAUGCAUCAAAUAAUUAUCUUUCAUAUAUAUGCCAUGUACUACGUCUUUCUUAGUGAACGACUACAAAUAUCUUUAGUCAUAUUUCAAUUAUCAUCAAUUGGGCGCUCUUACACCAGUCACACCACUCAUCACUCCAUUAAACGAACAAUAAUUUCCACUUUUUUAUAGAUUAUUAUCAAUACCAGAACAACAUCAAUCUUGUUCCAUGGACAAAUUUGUGGAAUUAAUAUAAUCUUAAUCAAGCAAAUCAAAUGGGUAAAAAGAUACAAUUUUAGAUUUAGCAAAGCUGACACUUUUUUCUUAAAUAAUGGAAAACAGGAGAAAAAAUAUUAAGAUCUACUAUGGAACACGAUUAUUUCAAAAAUAAUACUAUUUGCAGACGCUCACUACGACAAUCGCUCUACGUGACAGACACAUGACAUGUGAUUAUUUGAUACAUGAAUCAAUAAAAAAAACUAUUAUAUUAAUGCAUCAAAUAAUUAUUUGUCAUAUGUAUCCCAUGUACUACGUCUAUCCUAGUCAAUGACUACAAAUUUCUUUAGACAUAUUUUAAUUAUCAACUGGGUGGUGCCUACAACAUUACACCACUCAUCACUCCAUUAAAAGUUCAUUAAUUUUCACUUUUUUAUAUCAAUAGCAAAACAAGAUCAAUCCAAUUUCAUGGACAAAUUUGUGAAAUUCGUAUAAUCUUAAUCAAACAAACCAAACAGCUAAAAAAAUACAAUUUUAGAUGUAGCCAAAGUUGACACUUUUUUCUUAAAUAAUGGAAAUCAGGAUAACAA
This 2163-nucleotide long non-coding RNA is filed under the name Olea europaea subsp. europaea. Lineage: Eukaryota; Viridiplantae; Streptophyta; Magnoliopsida; Lamiales; Oleaceae. The record is from RNAcentral.